GCCCAUCUUCCAUAGAUGUCUCCAACUCUUCAUGAAUGUGCUAGGUCAUGGUAAGGGGUAUGUCAUCACGUAACCUACCAUCAAACAACCUGUUUACUAAAACAGGGAGGUACAAGUUAUCUUGUUAUCUUAGUAUAAUGACUUAUCUUCCCUACUCCUUAAGGACUUACAAGUAAAAACUUUGAUGCAUCCCACACCGAGCAUUAUACUCAACAACAAGCCAAAAAACUACGGGCCAAACAUCAUUUCCUUCCCCAUUACCUCACAUAGGCGAGAAGGUGCAUCACUCAAACUCUCAUUUUCCC
This 305-nucleotide long non-coding RNA is filed under the name Vigna radiata. Its description in RNAcentral is "long non-coding RNA (VRAD_LNC015354)". Lineage: Eukaryota; Viridiplantae; Streptophyta; Magnoliopsida; Fabales; Fabaceae. The record is from RNAcentral.